CGGCGAGUGAAGCGGCAAGAGCUCAAAUUUGAAAGCUGGCCCCCUCGGGGUCCGCAUUGUAAUUUGCAGAGGAUGCUUCGGGAACGGCCCCCAUCUAAGUGCCCUGGAACGGGCCGUCAUAGAGGGUGAGAAUCCCGUCUGGGAUGGGGUGGCCGCGCCCGUGUGAAGCUCCUUCGACGAGUCGAGUUGUUUGGGAAUGCAGCUCUAAUUGGGUGGUAAAUUUCAUCUAAAGCUAAAUAUUGGCCGGAGACCGAUAGCGCACAAGUAGAGUGAUCGAAAGAUGAAAAGCACUUUGAAAAGAGAGUUAAACAGCACGUGAAAUUGUUGAAAGGGAAGCGCUUGCGACCAGACUCGCCCGCGGGGUUCAGCCGGCACUCGUGCCGGUGUACUUCCCCGCGGGCGGGCCAGCGUCGGUUUGGGCGGCCGGUCAAAGGCCUCUGGAAGGUAACGCCUCUCGGGGCGUCUUAUAGCCAGGGGUGCCAUGCGGCCUGCCCGGACCGAGGAACGCGCUUCGGCUCGGACGCUGGCAUAAUGGUCGUAAGCGACCCGUCUUGAAACACGGACCAAGGAGUCUAACAUCUACG
Molecule: ribosomal RNA, 584 nt
Filed under: Penicillium citrinum
Lineage: Eukaryota; Fungi; Ascomycota; Eurotiomycetes; Eurotiales; Aspergillaceae
Description: partial large subunit ribosomal RNA
Rfam family: Eukaryotic large subunit ribosomal RNA
Source: RNAcentral